This 374-nucleotide ribosomal RNA is filed under the name uncultured organism. RNAcentral's name for it is "partial 16S ribosomal RNA". It matches the Rfam family "Bacterial small subunit ribosomal RNA", at positions 527 to 896 of the family's 1533-position model. The record is from RNAcentral.
GUAGGGUGCAAGCGUUAUCCGGAAUCAUGGGCGUAAAGAGCUCGUAGGCGGUUCAGCAAGUCGGCUGUGAAAUCCCGAGGGCUUAACCUCGGAACUGCAGUCGAUACUGCUGUGACUAGAGUCCGGUAGAGGAGAAUGGAAUUCCCGGUGUAGCGGUGAAAUGCGCAGAUAUCGGGAGGAACACCAGUAGCGAAGGCGGUUCUCUGGGCCGGUACUGACGCUGAGGAGCGAAAGCGUGGGUAGCAAACAGGAUUAGAUACCCUGGUAGUCCACGCCGUAAACGUUGGACACUAGGUGUGGCGUUCCGACCAACGGGUGCCGUGCCGAAGCUAACGCAUUAAGUGUCCCGCCUGGGGAGUACGGCCGCAAGGCUA